UAAUUAGCAAAAAAGAAAAUCAACAUUCUGCAGCAUUCUAAUCUAACAGAAGGCACAACUAACGUUUACACGGCAGACCGUUUGAUCACUGCCGUGUAGAUAACAGAUCACGUGAUAACCUUAUAUAGACAGAUCGUAUAACGGUACAGACAGUAUAUUGACUUGAUUUCGUUAAACAGCUGACACAGAGGCGGUCUAGGGUGAUAGAAAGUCUAACAAACUGAUAGGAAGAUUAAGAGGUGAACGAACACCCGUUGAUAAGAUAAAAGUUAAUUGAUCGGCAAUACCAGAACGGACUGUGAAAAAAUUAUUAUUGUUUCAUCUUUCGUGUUUCAAGUGCAGGGAGAGAGAAUUGGAUUUCAGAAUAUUGAGGCAACUAUAUGCAUAUCAAACCUUUUUCUGUUAAUUGAAUAUUCAUUUGUGAAGCACUGAUUUGAAGGUUCAGAAGGUCGAUCGGGAAGUUUAUCAAUAUUGAUAUCACGUAUAUAGAGUGUUGGGAAACUGGUUUCAUCUGCAAUUUAAGACGUCAUUUAGACUCGUGGAAUAUAGGUUAAACAAUUUCUUCUAAAUAAAGUAUCAAAUUCCCAAACAGUGUUCAACGAGGAUACACGUGUUAAAAUGGCUGCAGUAAAAUCAACGAAAGUUCUAAUAGCUAUGGACGGAAGUGAUCCAUCUCUCUAUGCCUUUGAUUGGUAUAUGGAUAAUAUACAUAAACCAGAUAAUCAUAUAAUUAUAGCCCAUGUACCAGAUUAUAAAUCACUUGUUAAAUCACCUAUUAUAUCUAGCGACCCUGCCUUGAUUGCGGCCUUAAUGAAAGAAGAGGAAGCGGAAGUAGAUAAAAUCAUCAGCAAGAUUAAAGAAAAAGUCAACGUAGUUGGUGUAAAAUGUCGUAUGUUGAGGUUAUCUGGUGACCCAGGCCAUGCUAUUGUUAAAGCCAGUGAAACAGAGAAAGUGGAUUGCAUUGUGACAGGAACACGUGGUCUUGGUACAGUCAGGAGAACAUUAUUAGGCAGUGUCAG
Long non-coding RNA from Patella vulgata (common limpet), 1019 nucleotides. RefSeq lists it as uncharacterized. The transcript is spliced from 4 exons. NCBI's taxonomy places the organism in Eukaryota, Metazoa, Mollusca, Gastropoda, Patellidae. The record is from RefSeq and is a predicted model, not a curated record.